AACGAACGCUGGCGGCAGGCCUAACACAUGCAAGUCGAACGCCCCGCAAGGGAGUGGCAGACGGGUGAGUAACACGUGGGAACGUACCCUUCGGUUCGGGAUAACUCAGGGAAACUUGAGCUAAUACCGGAUACGUCCGAGAGGAGAAAGAUUUAUCGCCGAGGGAUUGGCCCGCGUCUGAUUAGCUUGUUGGUGAGGUAACGGCUCACCAAGGCGACGAUCAGUAGCUGGUCUGAGAGGAUGAUCAGCCACAUUGGGACUGAGACACGGCCCAAACUCCUACGGGAGGCAGCAGUGGGGAAUCUUGGACAAUGGGGGAAACCCGUGAUCCAGCCAUGCCGCGUGAGUGAUGAAGGCCCUAGGGUUGUAAAACUCUUUCGGCGGGGACGNUAAAUGACGGUACCCGCAGAAGAAGCUCCGGCUAACUUCGUGCCACGCCGCCGCAGU
This 447-nucleotide ribosomal RNA is filed under the name uncultured bacterium. Its description in RNAcentral is "bacterial SSU rRNA". It matches the Rfam family "Bacterial small subunit ribosomal RNA", at positions 29 to 521 of the family's 1533-position model. The record is from RNAcentral.